AUUGAACGCUAGCGGCAUGCCUAACACAUGCAAGUCGAACGAGUGGCGGACGGGUGAGUAAUAUCUGGGAACCUGCCCGGUAGAGGGGGAUAACUACUGGAAACGGUAGCUAAUACCGCAUACUAUCGGAGGUGCCCAGAUGGGAUUAGCUAGUGGGUGGGGUAAAGGCUCACCUAGGCGACGAUCCGUAGCUGGUCUGAGAGGAUGACCAGCCACACUGGAACUGAGACACGGCCCAGACUCCUACGGGAGGCAGCAGUGGGGAAUAUUGGACAAUGGGCGAAAGCCUGAUGCAGCCAUGCCGCGUGUAUGAAGAAGGCCUUCGGGUUGUAAAGUACUUUCAGCGGGGAGGCGGUACCCGCAGAAGAAGCACCGGCUAACUACGUGCCAGCAGCCGCGGUAAUAC
This 406-nucleotide ribosomal RNA is filed under the name uncultured bacterium. Its description in RNAcentral is "partial 16S ribosomal RNA". It matches the Rfam family "Bacterial small subunit ribosomal RNA", at positions 30 to 526 of the family's 1533-position model. The record is from RNAcentral.